CAUUUUCCCUCCCCUUUUAUCGAUACCUAGCCUAUUUUCCGGUGUGAUAUUUUUUCCAUUUUUUUUCCUCGCACUUCUCUCGAAAAAAUCGUGAUCGGAUCUCGCCGCCGAACGAUGAAAUCGCCGCAAUUCUUCUCACCAAUGUAAAUUGUCACGCAGCUCGGCGCACCACCCUCUCACGCACCCACACGCACACACGUACUCGUACUCACAUGUCUCAUACUCUGUGCUUAUAUAUGUAUAUAUAUAUAUAUAUAUUUGUCGAUCAUUACAUAUACAGUUGUGUACGUAUGCGAUAAUGCGGCUUGGUAAAAAAAAAAAAAAAAAGAAAAAAAAAACGGAUCUAUUAUAUAAUCGUAUGUAGAGCUUAUUAUAUCACGUGUGCUCGUGAUCUCUGAAGCUUAUCGCCGGUUGGAAAUUUCUUUGUCGUUAUUAUAUAGUUUAUUAUUAAAGUAUUUGUUAUAAAGUGAAAAAUCGUUUGAACUUAAUUACAAAUAUUUGUACGAUAUAUAUAUAUAUAUAUAGAUUUGUAGCAGCAGGUAAUAAUACGUGAUUGGUCUGCAAAAAUUUAUAAAAAGUGAUUAUUUUUAUAUAUUGUUAUUCGUAUAAGAGAAAGAGUAGAAGAUUAUUUCAUUUUGGAUUCAUAUAUAUAUACUUCUACUUCGUAUCAUGUGUUUCGUGUACGUAUUUUUUAAACUUUUUUAUAAAUAUUCGCAGAUUAUCACUGAAAGAUGAUCUCAAAAGCAAAACUUGAUACGUCUUCCUUGAUUCUCACAGAAAAAUAAAUUUUAAAUUAAUAACUCGUCAAUUUUAAAAAUGUUAAUAAUUCUU
Molecule: long non-coding RNA, 831 nt
Organism: Apis dorsata (giant honeybee)
Lineage: Eukaryota; Metazoa; Arthropoda; Insecta; Hymenoptera; Apidae
Exons: 3
Source: RefSeq, a predicted model, not a curated record